This 448-nucleotide ribosomal RNA is filed under the name uncultured bacterium. RNAcentral's name for it is "partial 16S ribosomal RNA". It matches the Rfam family "Bacterial small subunit ribosomal RNA", at positions 330 to 794 of the family's 1533-position model. The record is from RNAcentral.
ACCAGACUCCUACGGGAGGCAGCAGUGGGGGAUAUUGCACAAUGGGGGGAACCCUGAUGCAGCGACGCCGCGUGGGUGAAGAAGCGCCUCGGCGCGUAAAGCCCUGUCAGCAGGGAAGAAAAUGACGGUACCUGAAGAAGAAGCCCCGGCUAACUACGUGCCAGCAGCCGCGGUAAUACGUAGGGGGCAAGCGUUAUCCGGAUUUACUGGGUGUAAAGGGGGCGCAGACGGCGGUGCAAGCCAGGAGUGAAAGCCCGGGGCCCAACCCCGGGGCUGCUCUUGGAACUGCGUGGCUGGAGUGCAGGAGGGGCAGGCGGAAUUCCUGGUGUAGCGGUGAAAUGCGUAGAUAUCAGGAGGAACACCAGUGGCGGAGGCGGUCUGCUGGACAGCAACUGACGCUGAGGCGCGAAAGCGUGGGGAGCAAACAGGAUUAGAUACCCCAGUAAAU